This 497-nucleotide ribosomal RNA is filed under the name uncultured bacterium. RNAcentral's name for it is "partial 16S ribosomal RNA". It matches the Rfam family "Bacterial small subunit ribosomal RNA", at positions 28 to 507 of the family's 1533-position model. The record is from RNAcentral.
GAUGAACGCUGGCGGCGUGCCUAAUACAUGCAAGUCGAGCGAACAGAUGAGGAGCUUGCUCCUCUGACGUUAGCGGCGGACGGGUGAGUAACACGUGGAUAACCUACCUAUAAGACUGGGAUAACUUCGGGAAACCGGAGCUAAUACCGGAUAAUAUAUUGAACCGCAUGGUUCAAUAGUGAAAGACGGUUUUGCUGUCACUUAUAGAUGGAUCCGCGCCGCAUUAGCUAGUUGGUAAGGUAACGGCUUACCAAGGCAACGAUGCGUAGCCGACCUGAGAGGGUGGUCGGCCACACUGGAACUUAGACACGGUCAAGACUCCUACGGGAGGCAGCAGUAGGGAAUCGUCCGCAAUGGGCGAAAGCCUGACGGAGCAACGCCGCGUGAGUGAUGAAGGUCUUCGGAUCGUAAAACUCUGUUAUUAGGGAAGAACAAAUGUGUAAGUAACUAUGCACGUCUUGACGGUACCUAAUCAGAAAGCCACGGCUAACUACGUG